GACGAACGCUGGCGGCGUGCUUAACACAUGCAAGUCGAACGGAAAGGCCCUGCUUUUGUGGGGUGCUCGAGUGGCGAACGGGUGAGUAACACGUGAGUAACCUGCCCUUGACUUUGGGAUAACUUCAGGAAACUGGGGCUAAUACCGGAUAGGAGCUCCUGCUGCAUGGUGGGGGUUGGAAAGUUUCGGCGGUUGGGGAUGGACUCGCGGCUUAUCAGCUUGUUGGUGGGGUAGUGGCUUACCAAGGCUUUGACGGGUAGCCGGCCUGAGAGGGUGACCGGCCACAUUGGGACUGAGAUACAGCGCAGACUCCUACGGGAGGCAGCAGUGGGGAAUAUUGCACAAUGGGCGGAAGCCUGAUGCAGCAACGCCGCGUGCGGGAUGACGGCCUUCGGGUUGUAAGCCGCUUUCGCCUGUGACGAAGCGUGUGUGACGGUAAUGGAUAAAGAAGCACCGGCUAACUACGUG
RNAcentral lists this ribosomal RNA (468 nucleotides) under uncultured bacterium. Its description in RNAcentral is "partial 16S ribosomal RNA". It matches the Rfam family "Bacterial small subunit ribosomal RNA", at positions 28 to 507 of the family's 1533-position model. The record is from RNAcentral.